GGCUGGCGAGCACUGCAACUUGAUCCUUAGACCUCCUCGUCUAUCCAUCUCAACUCACAAUCUGACAUAUAUAGCUCGUGCCGGCAUUGCAGCCUGGCUGCUUGUUCUUGAUUAGUUUGUUCUUGGUCAGUUGCGAUCGCAAAUGGGGAGGCAGCCGUGCUGCGACAAGGUGGGGCUGAAGAAGGGGCCGUGGACAGCGGAGGAGGACCAGAAGCUCGUCAGCUUCAUCCUCGGCAACGCCCAGUGCUGCUGGCGCGCCGUGCCAAAGCUCGCCGGGCUGCUGCGGUGCGGGAAGAGCUGCCGGCUGCGGUGGACGAACUACCUGCGGCCGGACCUCAAGAGGGGGCUGCUCUCCGACGCCGAGGAGAAGCUCGUCAUCGACCUACAUGCCCAGCUGGGCAACAGGUGGUCGAAGAUCGCGUCGCACCUGCCAGGACGGACGGACAACGAGAUCAAGAACCACUGGAACACCCACAUCAAGAAGAAGCUUAAGAAGAUGGGGAUUGACCCUCUCACCCACAAGCCUCUCUCACCCUCUCCGCCGCCGUCGCAGCAGCAAGACCGGUGUCCGCCGCCCAUCAGCCACUCGCCGGAAGCACGGGCACCAUCAUCACCGGAGCAGAAGCGUCCUGAGAAGAACGAGGCGGCCGCGACCAGCCGAAACAACGACGAGGAGCUCCUCCUCAGCAAGUCGUCGCCUGGCUUCUGCACCGAUGAGGUGCCGAUGAUUCACCCGGACGAGAUCAUUGUGCCACUGUGCGACCAGGGGCUGACAUUACCAACGCCGACGACACUGACCACGUCUUACUCUGCCUCGACGUCGUCAAGCUGCGACGAGGAGACGCCGUUCCCCAUCAUGGAGUGGCCGGAUACCAUGUUCAUGAUGGGGCUGGACGACAUGAUCGCGCCGUGGGACGACUGCUUUGUGCAGCCACCGCCGCCGCGGUCGCCGGUGUACGACGACACCUUAGUGCCACCAACAACCACCGGUCAACGCCCGUAGCUUCUACGUUGCGGGUCAUAUGCUGCUAACAUUGGUAGCAAAGGAUAUGAAAUCCCUAGAUGAAUUCAGCUUAGCGGAUGGCAACAUCGAUGAGUCUUCACUCUUCAACAUUCGAGGACAAAUCGCCUCAUUCAUAAUGAUCAAAGUCAUAUCUUCGAAAGGCGAGUUCCAUUGUCGGGAGGCGGCAUGCUGACUUAUGUAAUUUGUGGUUCU
Molecule: RNA transcript, 1216 nt
Organism: Phragmites australis (common reed)
Lineage: Eukaryota; Viridiplantae; Streptophyta; Magnoliopsida; Poales; Poaceae
Gene name: transcription factor MYB20-like
Exons: 5
Source: RefSeq, a predicted model, not a curated record